This is a non-coding RNA of Oryza glumipatula, 180 nucleotides long. Lineage: Eukaryota; Viridiplantae; Streptophyta; Magnoliopsida; Poales; Poaceae. The record is from Rfam.
UGUAAGUGCAACCAUGAGUUUUUGUGCCUAAAUUUGAUCAUCCGUCCUAUUGGAAUUUUUUUUAUAGUUAUGAGAUGAUAAAACAUGAAUAGCACUUUAUGCGUGACUUAUGUUUUUAAUUUUUUUUCAAAUAAGACAGACGAUCAAAGUUGAGCACGGAAAAUCAUGGCUGCACUUAAA